GAAACUUCACAAUCCACAACACAGUCCUACUUUAUACAUUACGUAACAGUAAACUUAGAUCAUUAUACUAAUUGAAAUAGUUUUAAGGCUGAAUAUUCAAGCAUAUAUGAGGUUGAAAAAAAGGAAUAGGAUUCGAUAUGAAUUUCAUCAUUUCUUAUUCAAAUUUCAGACCCAAACUUCAAAUACACUUAGGUGAUAUCCAUGGUGUUUUGAGAAUACCUGUUUACAACAAUAAAACACAUCAAAGCCUGAAGUUAUGAAUCAAUAGCAGGAGCAAUUCAGCAAAGAAGAAACAACAACAGAAUCGACUCAAAACAAGCAAUAGAAUAGCAACCAACAACCUUCAGAUCAUUAUUUGGAUCCCAGAAUGAAAGAGAAAGUUUAAUUUUUA
This 391-nucleotide long non-coding RNA is filed under the name Nicotiana benthamiana. RNAcentral describes it as "long non-coding RNA (NBEN_LNC016724)". The record is from RNAcentral. Lineage: Eukaryota; Viridiplantae; Streptophyta; Magnoliopsida; Solanales; Solanaceae.